CUGUCUGAGUACUAUAUAAUAGUUAAAACUUUCAACAACGGAUCUCUUGGUUCUGGCAUCGAUGAAGAACGCAGCGAAAUGCGAUAAGUAAUGUGAAUUGCAGAAUUCAGUGAAUCAUCGAAUCUUUGAACGCACAUUGCGCCCCCUGGUAUUCCGGGGGGCAUGCCUGUCCGAGCGUCAUUACAACCCUCAAGCUCAGCUUGGUAUUGGGCCCCGCCGACCCGGCGGGCCCUAAAGUCAGUGGCGGUGCCGUCCGGCUCCGAGCGUAGUAAUUCUUCUCGCUCUGGAGGUCCGGUCGUGUGCUCGCCAGCAACCCCCAAUUUUUUUCAGGUUGACCUCGGAUCAGGUAGGGAUACCCGCUGAACUUAAGCAUAUCAAUAAGCGGAGGAAAAGAAACCAACAGGGAUUACCUCAGUAACGGCGAGUGAAGCGGUAACAGCUCAAAUUUGAAAUCUGGCCUCACGGUCCGAGUUGUAAUUUGUAGAGGAUGCUUCGAGCAUGGUCUGGCCUAAGUUCCUUGGAACAGGACGUCAUAGAGGGUGAGAAUCCCGUAUGCGGCCAGGUGCCUACGCUCAUGUGAAGCUCCUUCGACGAGUCGAGUUGUUUGGGAAUGCAGCUCAAAAUGGGUGGUAAAUUUCAUCUAAAGCUAAAUAUUGGCCAGAGACCGAUAGCGCACAAGUAGAGUGAUCGAAAGAUGAAAAGCACUUUGGAAAGAGAGUUAAACAGUACGUGAAAUUGUUGAAAGGGAAGCGCUUGCAACCAGACUUGCGCGCGGCCGAUCAUCCGGUGUUCUCACCGGUGCACUCGGCCGUGCUCAGGCCAGCAUCGGUUUUGGCGGCUGGAUAAAGGCCCUAGGAAUGUGGCUCCUCUCGGGGAGUGUUAUAGCCUAGGGUGCAAUGCAGCCUGCUGGGACCGAGGACCGCGCUCGGCUAGG
This 934-nucleotide ribosomal RNA is filed under the name Pseudogymnoascus roseus. Its description in RNAcentral is "eukaryotic LSU rRNA". The stretch from base 333 to 934 matches the Rfam family "Eukaryotic large subunit ribosomal RNA", at positions 1 to 609 of the family's 3401-position model. The record is from RNAcentral. Lineage: Eukaryota; Fungi; Ascomycota; Leotiomycetes; Thelebolales; Thelebolaceae.